Molecule: transfer RNA, 67 nt
Filed under: Amblyjoppa sp. ZJUH_2016002
Lineage: Eukaryota; Metazoa; Arthropoda; Insecta; Hymenoptera; Ichneumonidae
Description: tRNA-Leu
Source: RNAcentral
GUUAUUUUGGCAGAAUAGUGUAAUAAAUUUAGAAUUUAUUUAAAUAAAUUUAAUUUUAUAAGUAAUA